RNAcentral lists this unclassified non-coding RNA (3685 nucleotides) under Hevea brasiliensis (rubber tree). Lineage: Eukaryota; Viridiplantae; Streptophyta; Magnoliopsida; Malpighiales; Euphorbiaceae. The record is from RNAcentral.
GGAAAAGAGAAAAGCAGCGAGGAAAACUUCUGAGCAGAGAAAAAAAGAAGGGUUUUAGGGAUUUUGUUGGUUUCGGCAUGACUCGCUUGAGCAUCGAACAGAUUUUAAAGGAUAAACAGACCCUUGAUCCUGCCUCCAUUACUUCUCUCUCGCUCACUCACAGAGCUCUCUCCGAUGUAUCUUGCUUGAGCCAAUUCACCAACUUGGAGAGACUGGACCUCGCCUUCAAUAGCCUCACUUCGCUCCAGGGAUUGAGUUCUUGCGUGAACUUGAAGUGGUUAUCAGUUGUGCAAAACAAAUUGCAAAGCUUAAAAGGAAUUGAAGGCCUUUAUAAUCUCACUGUAUUAAAUGCGGGCAAAAAUAAGCUUAGAUCAAUGGAUGAGGUCAGGUCUCUUGUGAGCUUACGAGCUUUGAUUUUAAAUGACAAUGAGAUUGUUUCCAUUUGCAAGCUGGAUCAAAUCAAAGAACUGAACACUCUUGGUAUGAGUUCCUAAUAUAGCUCGGUUUAUAUCUGUGCAACUCAAUUUAGUAGGUGCCUGUGGAUUCUUAAUGUACUUUUUAUUCAAUUCAUGUGAAUCAAAAUCAAUUGUAUGUAGUUUUAUUGUUAAUGAAAGACAAAAACUGAGGAUACAAUCAUUGUAGGAAGGAGGAAAGCUGAGUAAUAAUUCUGCAAAAGCAAAAAUAUUUUUUAAAAUCUAUUAUUUUUUCCCUUAGAAUUCCCCUCUGCUUUUGUCUCUUUGCUGCCAAAGUUGUGGAAGCUUAUAAAGUCUCUUCUUUCUCAACAUUUUUUUAUUAGGAAUUAUUUCAGAUUUGUGGUGGGAUCUAAUGUACAGUUUUUGAAAGGGCAGGAGGAUUUUGUUGCAUUCCACUUUCUUCUGAUAUCAAAGGCAGAACUUUUGGAAAACCUUUAACAAUAACUACCUGAAGCUGGGUUCUCUUUAUACUCUGCUAAUAAUAUCUUUCAUGUAACACAUUUGUCUUUAAUAGUUUAUAAUUCCUAUCUCUUUUUUUUUUCCUGCAUGGUUUUCAUGUUUCUCAAAGUGAUUGUUAGUCAAUUAGAACCUCAGAGUGGAAUGCAAUGUAGCAUUUCUAGUAAAGGUAUUACAAGCAUGGUAACCAGGGAAAAGGAAAGUUAGCAUGCAAAGAAGCUUGUGCAUAAUCAAAAGGCUUGUGAAGGGUAGGUCAAUUGGCCAAAGGAAGGAAGAACAUAGGGUGUGAUCCAAUUGGAGUGCCAAUGAAGGGCGUGCUAUCAAUCGCAAUUCAUGCAAAUUGAUAGCAGUGGCCAUUGUUUGAUAUGUUGAUUUUCUAUAGCUAGUUAUACUCUGGAGAGGAUAGUAGUUGAGGAUGCAUAAAAUCAACUAUAUUAUCAUUAUAGCAAGACCAGAUAAAUCAUUGUAACAUGUGAAAGAAAAUUAAGGUAUACAAGCAUACGUCCAUACGAUGAUGUUGAAUCAUAAUCAUAUUCUUUAUUUGCAUCCUUUGUUAUGUUGAAGGCAAUUUAAACAAAAUCUCUCUACAUUUAUUUGAUUCAUCAGUGUCACAAUGUGCUGAUGUUAAGUUGCUUUUAUCUUAGACAUUUUUAAUAUUCAUUUGGCUUUCUUGAGAAUAUUUAGUUUGUUAUAUAUUAUAUUGCAGAUCCAUAUAUCAUUUUAUUGAACAUUGGAACUUUUAAUGACCAUGCGAUGCACUCUUAUAUCAGCAAAAGCUCUGGAUUUUCUUAUUUAGGCAUUAUUAAUAUUUCUUUUUACUUUUUCCUUCCUGUAAUUUAGUAUUUGAUUUAACCCAUCCUAUAGUUUAGACUGGACAUUACUUAAUGAAACUCUAGCUAUAUUGUGUACACUUGGACAGUUGGACUGACAAAAUGCAGUGAAUUUCUUUAUAAGAUCUUCUAACCUAAGUGCUCAGCCUUUAUCAGAUAACAAGAAUUUUGGCUUCUCAAUCUUCUGGAAUAGAAGUUUUAUCAAAUACUCACUAAAUUGAGGCAUAAUUUGUAAUAUAUCUUUUAGAAUAUAAUCUAAAGAGAGUAAAUCGUGCUCUUUGCCUUUGCAAUUUUCCUGUAGUUCUUUCACGAAAUCCAAUCCGUGAAAUUGGUGAAUCACUGGUCAAGGUGAAGUCCAUUACAAAGGUAAGUAGUUGGUGGGGCAUUAAAUGUCUUCUGCUGCAGUUUCAGUGCAUUUAGCAUCCUUCUAUUUUGCAGCUUUCUCUUUCCAAUUGCCAACUUCAGAGCAUUGGCUCAUCGCUUAAGUCCUGCAUUGAACUGAAAGAGCUCCGGCUUGCUCAUAAUGAUAUUAAGACUCUCCCAGCUGAGUUGGCUUACAAUAAAAAACUCCAGAAUUUGGACUUGGGAAAUAAUGUGAUCGCGAGAUGGUCAGAUGUGAAGGUGCUAAAUUUCUUAGCUGAUCUGAAAAACCUUAAUGUACAAGGAAACCCUAUUGCUGAAAGGGACAAAUUAGCCAAGAAGGUCCUAAAAUUGUUGCCAAGUUUGCAUAUAUUCAAUGCUAGACCAAUAGAUAAAAACAACAAGAAAGGAGAUGGUGGCAGUGUUGGUAGAGUAGAUGAUUUUUCAAUUAUCCCUGCUAAAGAGCUAGAAGCCCCCAAGGAAAAGAAACAAGAUACCAUAAGGGAAAAUAAACUCUCUGAACAUGAGAUGGAUCAAAGUAGACAUGGUCAUUUUGGUAAUGUUAGUGAUGCUAAUUUAGAGAAGGAUUUAAAGAAAGAGAAGAAAAUGAGGGACAAACUGUCAAGGAAGGAUGAAGUUCCAGUGUAUGGAAGGGAUGAUGUGUUUGAAAGGAAAUUAAAGAGGAAUACAUCGGAGGAGCAAGAUAAUGGUAAUCAUAUUGAUAUGGAGGACUUUAAGCUGAAAAGGAGGAAAACAAAUGAGAAAUUUUUGAAGAAAGAUGUCCAAGGGGAUGAUAAGAGCACAGUGGAAAAGAAACCCAAGAUUAAAACAUCGAGGGAGGAGCAAGGAGAGCUUGAUGUAAUCGAUAAUGGGGAAACAUCAUUUGCAGACCUUUUUGCUGUCAAUGUUGCAGAAAGUCCCAAACUUGGUGAUGAAAAGAAAAUGGUAGAUAAAGCUGAAGACAUAAGUUUUAUGCGUGGUUUGGCUGCCUCCUCUGCAAAGAAAAAGAAAACUAAAAACCGAGGAAUGGGUGCUGCUGUCCAGCUGUCUGCAGCAGUUGAAGUUGGAAUGGGAGGGCCAUCAACGUGGGGUGAUGAGUAAUUAUUUUACAAUGUUUAAAGGUUCCAGAGGAUUCAUAAUCAAGUUAAGCCAGUCAAAGGUUCCUGCUUCUCCAUUUCUGCUACAACAUUAUCUGAUUUUCUCAACAAACAUGCGUAAAAAGGUUAUCUGGAUGGCCUGAUGUACCAGUUUUGAACCAUCAGACUUUUAACCAUUUGGAUAAUCAGACUUGCACUCUAUAACUCACAUUACCAAGAUGGCUGAUGUUUACAAUGCAUUUUUCACACUGUUUGAGCUUGACAAUUGUGAACUUUUAAACAGCUUGCAUACUGAAUGGUAGCAAUUUGAUGAUAGGCUUUAGGUCAUAUUUAUACAUGUAAGCAUUUGCCAGCCUGCUUGUGUCAUGCGUUUGUGCUUUAUGCCGCUUUGCUAGAUAUUCUAUGAUUUUGAACUCAUUUGGUUUGUUUGAAAAAGCACAUACAUAAACAAGCCUUAUGCUGGUGAAAG